This is a long non-coding RNA of Oncorhynchus tshawytscha (Chinook salmon), 344 nucleotides long. Lineage: Eukaryota; Metazoa; Chordata; Actinopteri; Salmoniformes; Salmonidae. The record is from Ensembl.
GAAUAGGGUGAAACAGGUGAGAUAGAAGGUGAGGUAUAGGGUGAAACAGGUGAGAUAGAAGGUGGGGAAUAGGGUGAAACAGGUGAGAUAGAAGGUGAGGUAUAGGGUGAAACAGGUGAGAUAGAAGGUGAGGUAUAGGGUGAAACAGGUGAGAUAGAAGGUGAGGUAUAGGGUGAGACAGGUGGGAUAGGGGCUGAGGUAUGGGGUGAGAUAGAAGGUGAGGUAUGGUAUGAGACAGGUGGGAUAGGGGGUGAGGUAUGUGGUGAGACAGGUGGGAUAGGGGUGAGGUCUGGGGUGAGAUAGAAGGUGAGGUAUGGGGUGAGACAGGUGGGAUAGAGGGUGAG